This 497-nucleotide ribosomal RNA is filed under the name uncultured bacterium. Its description in RNAcentral is "partial 16S ribosomal RNA". It matches the Rfam family "Bacterial small subunit ribosomal RNA", at positions 28 to 507 of the family's 1533-position model. The record is from RNAcentral.
GAUGAACGCUGGCGGCGUGCCUAAUACAUGCCAGUCGAGCGAACAGAUAAGGAGCUUGCUCCUUUGACGUUAGCGGCGGACGGGUGAGUAACACGUGGGUAACCUACCUAUAAGACUGGAAUAACUCCGGGAAACCGGGGCUAAUGCCGGAUAACAUUUAGAACCGCAUGGUUCUAAAGUGAAAGAUGGUUUUGCUAUCACUUAUAGAUGGACCCGCGCCGUAUUAGCUAGUUGGUAAGGUAACGGCUUACCAAGGCAACGAUACGUAGCCGACCUGAGAGGGUGAUCGGCCACACUGGAACUGAGACACGGUCCAGACUCCUACGGGAGGCAGCAGUAGGGAAUCUUCCGCAAUGGGCGAAAGCCUGACGGAGCAACGCCGCGUGAGUGAUGAAGGUCUUCGGAUCGUAAAACUCUGUUAUUAGGGAAGAACAAAUGUGUAAGUAACUGUGCACGUCUUGACGGUACCUAAUCAGAAAGCCACGGCUAACUACGUG